AAAGAACUCUAAAAUGGAUAGGGAGUCAGUGAAGGGAUGCCAGAAUCGGAGUGAUGUGCUCCUUCUUAUGAGUACCUGUCAACAGGCGAGCAGCAGCAUUUUGGACCAACUGGAGACGCUUCAUGGAGGAGUGGCUGACUCCAAAGUCAAGUGCAUUGCAGGAAUCCAUGUGACGAAGGCAUGAAGGACUGAGCUGCUCACAAGGACUCUGUCCUAACAGUUCAAAUUGUACUGUCAACUGAGUGGUUCCGAUGAAAUCCGACUUUGUAGCCAGCUGUGGCGCCGUCAGCGGCCUCGGGGCGUGCCGGAAGGCUGAUGAGGGUCACCAUCAUCCGCUUCAUCAAGGAUCUCACAACCGACAGCUCCCGACAGCGAGUAAGACCCCCAAACAAGCCAGGAGGGAGGGGCAGGGAGAGCCAUGCAAUCAGGUGGUGAGAAAGCACUCGCCUCUUUUCAGAAAUAUUGUUUUCAUAUGCUGCUGUCUUUUCAAAAAUAAUGAUCGGAUGUUUGAUGACCUAUUACUUACCCAUUUCUUUUUAUUAUUUCAAAAGAUACUUUCAUUUAAUUAUAUUUAUGAUGAGCUUUUUAUAUUGUGCCACCGGGAGUUACAAACAAAUUGUCCCGUAUGAAGAGAAUGCGCGCUCGUUAAAAAAAUCCGUAAGUGAAAAGGCGGCUUUGUGACAUGCAACUUUUUGACAGAGUAUAUUUUAAAACAAAACUUAUUAUCUGAGCAGCCUUUUCUUGAGACCCGAAGAAAGAUCUAUUUCUGUCAGUGCCCCGACAUCUUUCCGCUUUGUUUCACUAACCAGUCUUGAAAACAUACACAAAAACGCCAUCAGUACUCAUGCGGAGUCACAAUGGCUCUUAUCAAGCAAACACAUUCAAAGCAGACAUUCUCACUUACUGGACGUGAAGCAGACUCGAAAAUUGUCACAAUUUAGCGAUAGUGCGUCCCACAUGAGACUCGACCUCAUGAAAGCUUAAAAGCCGAUCCCUCCAUGUCUUGGGAUAUUCUAGUUAGUUCUACUUGCAGCACUAGAUGUACCUACACGUACAGUGUUUACAA
Hippocampus comes (tiger tail seahorse) is the source of this 1066-nucleotide long non-coding RNA. RefSeq lists it as uncharacterized. The transcript is spliced from 2 exons. The record is from RefSeq and is a predicted model, not a curated record. NCBI's taxonomy places the organism in Eukaryota, Metazoa, Chordata, Actinopteri, Syngnathiformes, Syngnathidae.